GCUUGCUGGGUUGAUCAGUGGCGAACGGGUGAGUAACACGUGAGUAACCUGCCCCAGACUCCGGGAUAAGCCUUGGAAACGAGGUCUAAUACUGGAUACGAGACGCCCCUGCAUGGGGAGUGUCUGGAAAGAUUUAUCGGUCUGGGAUGGACUCGCGGCCUAUCAGCUUGUUGGUGGGGUAAUGGCCUACCAAGGCGACGACGGGUAGCCGGCCUGAGAGGGCGACCGGCCACACUGGGACUGAGACACGGCCCAGACUCCUACGGGAGGCAGCAGUGGGGAAUAUUGCACAAUGGGCGAAAGCCUGAUGCAGCGACGCCGCGUGAGGGAUGAAGGCCUUCGGGUUGUAAACCUCUUUCAGCAGGGAAGAAGCGCAAGUGACGGUACCUGCAGAAGAAGCGCCGGCUAACUACGUGCCAGCAGCCGCGGUAAUACGUAGGGCGCAAGCGUUGUCCGGAAUUAUUGGGCGUAAAGAGCUCGUAGGCGGUUUGUCGCGUCUGGUGUGAAAACUCAAGGCUCAACCUUGAGCUUGCAUCGGGUACGGGCAGACUAGAGUGCGGUAGGGGUGACUGGAAUUCCUGGUGUAGCGGUGGAAUGCGCAGAUAUCAGGAGGAACACCGAUGGCGAAGGCAGGUCACUGGGCCGCAACUGACGCUGAGGAGCGAAAGCAUGGGGAGCGAACAGGAUUAGAUACCCUGGUAGUCCAUGCCGUAAACGUUGGGCACUAGGUGUGGGGCUCAUUCCACGAGUUCCGUGCCGCAGCAAACGCAUUAAGUGCCCCGCCUGGGGAGUACGGCCGCAAGGCUAAAACUCAAAGGAAUUGACGGGGGCCCGCACAAGCGGCGGAGCAUGCGGAUUAAUUCGAUGCAACGCGAAGAACCUUACCAAGGCUUGACAUACACCGGAAACUUCCAGAGAUGGUUGCCCCGCAAGGUCGGUGUACAGGUGGUGCAUGGUUGUCGUCAGCUCGUGUCGUGAGAUGUUGGGUUAAGUCCCGCAACGAGCGCAACCCUCGUCUUAUGUUGCCAGCACGUCAUGGUGGGGACUCAUAAGAGACUGCCGGGGUCAACUCGGAGGAAGGUGGGGAUGACGUCAAAUCAUCAUGCCCCUUAUGUCUUGGGCUUCACGCAUGCUACAAUGGCCGGUACAAAGGGCUGCGAUACCGCGAGGUGGAGCGAAUCCCAAAAAGCCGGUCUCAGUUCGGAUUGGGGUCUGCAACUCGACCCCAUGAAGUCGGAGUCGCUAGUAAUCGCAGAUCAGCAACGCUGCGGUGAAUACGUUCCCGGGCCUUGUACACACCGCCCGUCAAGUCACGAAAGUCGGUAACACCCGAAG
RNAcentral lists this ribosomal RNA (1335 nucleotides) under Oerskovia sp. RNAcentral's name for it is "bacterial SSU rRNA". It matches the Rfam family "Bacterial small subunit ribosomal RNA", at positions 78 to 1426 of the family's 1533-position model. Lineage: Bacteria; Bacillati; Actinomycetota; Actinomycetes; Micrococcales; Cellulomonadaceae. The record is from RNAcentral.